RNAcentral lists this long non-coding RNA (529 nucleotides) under Vombatus ursinus (common wombat). RNAcentral's name for it is "lncRNA (ENSVURG00010015598.1)". Lineage: Eukaryota; Metazoa; Chordata; Mammalia; Diprotodontia; Vombatidae. The record is from RNAcentral.
GGAGCCGGAGCCGGAGCCUGAGUCGGAGCCGGCGGGGAGGAAGAGGCGGCGGCGGCGGCGGCGACGACGGAGGUUUAAACAGACCACAGGUCGGGUCGGGCCGAGCAAGCAGACUCUGAGGAAGAGGAGGAGGAGCGUCGGUAACGGCGGCGGCGGAGGCGGCGGCCCCCCACCCCAGCUAUGAGGAGGAGGGCGGCGGCAGCGGCGGGGGUGGGGGCUGCGGGGCCCCACUGGUGAUCGCCCGGACCCUGAGCUGGGAGCCAAAGGAUCUAAGCUGGAAGGAACCUUCCCACAGAAUGCCUUCUCCACCAAAGAGCGACCUACAGGCUACAAAGAUGAGAGCCGCACGAGGACUUUGGAAACCACUAACAUUUCAGUAGCUGGGAGUUUGUGGGUGACGUUUUCCCCUUCACCCCACCCACUGCCUCUGCCUUGGGCCGCGAUGCUGUAUUGAUUGCAGAAGAACCACACUUUGACCUUGAGUUUCGGUGGAUUGGGGUUUUGUAUGGCAGCAGCGUAACCGUGGAGA